RNAcentral lists this ribosomal RNA (2928 nucleotides) under Salmonella enterica subsp. enterica serovar Bareilly. Its description in RNAcentral is "23S ribosomal RNA". It matches the Rfam family "Bacterial large subunit ribosomal RNA". Lineage: Bacteria; Pseudomonadati; Pseudomonadota; Gammaproteobacteria; Enterobacterales; Enterobacteriaceae. The record is from RNAcentral.
GGGUUGUGAGGUUAAGCGACUAAGCGUACACGGUGGAUGCCCUGGCAGUCAGAGGCGAUGAAGGGCGUGCUAAUCUGCGAUAAGCGCCGGUAAGGUGAUAUGAACCGUUAUAACCGGCGAUACCCGAAUGGGGAAACCCAGUGUGAUUCGUCACACUAUCGUUAACUGAAUCCAUAGGUUAAUGAGGCGAACCGGGGGAACUGAAACAUCUAAGUACCCCGAGGAAAAGAAAUCAACCGAGAUUCCCCCAGUAGCGGCGAGCGAACGGGGAGGAGCCCAGAGCCUGAAUCAGCAUGUGUGUUAGUGGAAGCGUCUGGAAAGGCGCGCGAUACAGGGUGACAGCCCCGUACACAAAAGCGCAUGUGCUGUGAGCUCGAUGAGUAGGGCGGGACACGUGGUAUCCUGUCUGAAUAUGGGGGGACCAUCCUCCAAGGCUAAAUACUCCUGACUGACCGAUAGUGAACCAGUACCGUGAGGGAAAGGCGAAAAGAACCCCGGCGAGGGGAGUGAAAAAGAACCUGAAACCGUGUACGUACAAGCAGUGGGAGCACAGGUUUACCUGUGUGACUGCGUACCUUUUGUAUAAUGGGUCAGCGACUUAUAUUCUGUAGCAAGGUUAACCGAAUAGGGGAGCCGUAGGGAAACCGAGUCUUAACCGGGCGUUAAGUUGCAGGGUAUAGACCCGAAACCCGGUGAUCUAGCCAUGGGCAGGUUGAAGGUUGGGUAACACUAACUGGAGGACCGAACCGACUAAUGUUGAAAAAUUAGCGGAUGACCUGUGGCUGGGGGUGAAAGGCCAAUCAAACCGGGAGAUAGCUGGUUCUCCCCGAAAGCUAUUUAGGUAGCGCCUCGUGAAUUCAUCUCCGGGGGUAGAGCACUGUUUCGGCUAGGGGGCCAUCCCGGCUUACCAACCCGAUGCAAACUGCGAAUACCGGAGAAUGUUAUCACGGGAGACACACGGCGGGUGCUAACGUCCGUCGUGAAGAGGGAAACAACCCAGACCGCCAGCUAAGGUCCCAAAGUCAUGGUUAAGUGGGAAACGAUGUGGGAAGGCCCAGACAGCCAGGAUGUUGGCUUAGAAGCAGCCAUCAUUUAAAGAAAGCGUAAUAGCUCACUGGUCGAGUCGGCCUGCGCGGAAGAUGUAACGGGGCUAAACCAUGCACCGAAGCUGCGGCAGCGACACUAUGUGUUGUUGGGUAGGGGAGCGUUCUGUAAGCCGUCGAAGGUGGCCUGUGAGGGUUGCUGGAGGUAUCAGAAGUGCGAAUGCUGACAUAAGUAACGAUAAAGCGGGUGAAAAGCCCGCUCGCCGGAAGACCAAGGGUUCCUGUCCAACGUUAAUCGGGGCAGGGUGAGUCGACCCCUAAGGCGAGGCCGAAAGGCGUAGUCGAUGGGAAACGGGUUAAUAUUCCCGUACUUGGUGUUACUGCGAAGGGGGGACGGAGAAGGCUAUGUUGGCCGGGCGACGGUUGUCCCGGUUUAAGCGUGUAGGUGUGUGUUCCAGGUAAAUCCGGUUCACUUUAACACUGAGGCGUGACGACGAGGCACUACGGUGCUGAAGCAACAAAUGCCCUGCUUCCAGGAAAAGCCUCUAAGCAUCAGGUAACAUCAAAUCGUACCCCAAACCGACACAGGUGGUCAGGUAGAGAAUACCAAGGCGCUUGAGAGAACUCGGGUGAAGGAACUAGGCAAAAUGGUGCCGUAACUUCGGGAGAAGGCACGCUGACACGUAGGUGAAGUGAUUUACUCACGGAGCUGAAGUCAGUCGAAGAUACCAGCUGGCUGCAACUGUUUAUUAAAAACACAGCACUGUGCAAACACGAAAGUGGACGUAUACGGUGUGACGCCUGCCCGGUGCCGGAAGGUUAAUUGAUGGGGUCAGCGCAAGCGAAGCUCCUGAUCGAAGCCCCGGUAAACGGCGGCCGUAACUAUAACGGUCCUAAGGUAGCGAAAUUCCUUGUCGGGUAAGUUCCGACCUGCACGAAUGGCGUAAUGAUGGCCAGGCUGUCUCCACCCGAGACUCAGUGAAAUUGAACUCGCUGUGAAGAUGCAGUGUACCCGCGGCAAGACGGAAAGACCCCGUGAACCUUUACUAUAGCUUGACACUGAACAUUGAGCCUUGAUGUGUAGGAUAGGUGGGAGGCUUUGAAGUGUGGACGCCAGUCUGCAUGGAGCCGACCUUGAAAUACCACCCUUUAAUGUUUGAUGUUCUAACGUGGACCCGUAAUCCGGGUUGCGGACAGUGUCUGGUGGGUAGUUUGACUGGGGCGGUCUCCUCCUAAAGAGUAACGGAGGAGCACGAAGGUUGGCUAAUCCUGGUCGGACAUCAGGAGGUUAGUGCAAUGGCAUAAGCCAGCUUGACUGCGAGCGUGACGGCGCGAGCAGGUGCGAAAGCAGGUCAUAGUGAUCCGGUGGUUCUGAAUGGAAGGGCCAUCGCUCAACGGAUAAAAGGUACUCCGGGGAUAACAGGCUGAUACCGCCCAAGAGUUCAUAUCGACGGCGGUGUUUGGCACCUCGAUGUCGGCUCAUCACAUCCUGGGGCUGAAGUAGGUCCCAAGGGUAUGGCUGUUCGCCAUUUAAAGUGGUACGCGAGCUGGGUUUAGAACGUCGUGAGACAGUUCGGUCCCUAUCUGCCGUGGGCGCUGGAGAACUGAGGGGGGCUGCUCCUAGUACGAGAGGACCGGAGUGGACGCAUCACUGGUGUUCGGGUUGUCAUGCCAAUGGCACUGCCCGGUAGCUAAAUGCGGAAGAGAUAAGUGCUGAAAGCAUCUAAGCACGAAACUUGCCCCGAGAUGAGUUCUCCCUUGGACUUUAAGUCCACUGAAGGAACGUUGAAGACGACGACGUUGAUAGGCCGGGUGUGUAAGCGCAGCGAUGCGUUGAGCUAACCGGUACUAAUGAACCGUGAGGCUUAACCUUACAACGCCGAAG